AAGUCGUAACAAGGUUUCCGUAGGUGAACCUGCGGAAGGAUCAUUAUGAAUAAGUAGUUCGCUACUUUGCUGGGGGAGAUGGGAAAGUCCUGGCUGAAAAGCCAGUGUACCGGUACCUGCACCCCUAUCAUACCCUUGUCUUUUGAGUACUUAUGUUUCCUUGGUAGGCUUGCUUACCAGUUGGACAAUUUACAAACCUUUAUUUUAUAAAUCAGCGUCUGAAUAAAUUAAUAAUUACAACUUUCAACAACGGAUCUCUUGGUUCUG
Molecule: unclassified non-coding RNA, 267 nt
Filed under: Phaeosphaeria juncicola
Lineage: Eukaryota; Fungi; Ascomycota; Dothideomycetes; Pleosporales; Phaeosphaeriaceae
Description: partial internal transcribed spacer region
Rfam family: Eukaryotic small subunit ribosomal RNA (bases 1-46)
Source: RNAcentral